Molecule: ribosomal RNA, 858 nt
Filed under: uncultured bacterium
Lineage: Bacteria
Description: bacterial SSU rRNA
Rfam family: Bacterial small subunit ribosomal RNA
Source: RNAcentral
CAANGUAUGCUUUGGAAACUGUUAGACUUGAGUGCAGAAGGGGAGAGUGGAAUUCCAUGUGUAGCGGUGAAAUGCGUAGAUAUAUGGAGGANCACCGGUGGCGAAAGCGGCUCUCUGGUCUGUCACUGACGCUGAGGCUNGAAAGCGUGGGUAGCGAACAGGAUUAGAUACCCUGGUAGUNCACGCCGUAAACGCUGAGUGCUAGGUGUUAGGUCCUUUCCGGGACUUAGUGCCGACGCUAACGCAUUAAGCACUCCGCCUGGGGAGUACGACCGCAAGGUUGAAACUCAAAGGAAUUGACGGGGGCCCGCACAAGCGGUGGAGCAUGUGGUUUAAUUCGAAGCAACGCGAAGAACCUUACCAGGUCUUGACAUCCCGAUGCCCGCUCUAGAGAUAGAGUUUUUCUUCGGAACAUCGGAGACAGGUGGUGCAUGGUUGUCGUCAGCUCGUGUCGUGAGAUGUUGGGUUAAGUCCCGCAACGAGCGCAACCCUUAUUGUUAGUUGCCAUCAUUAAGUUGGGCACUCUAGCGAGACUGCCGGUAAUAAACCGGAGGAAGGUGGGGAUGACGUCAAAUCAUCAUGCCCCUUAUGACCUGGGCUACACACGUGCUACAAUGGUUGGUACAACGAGUCGCAAGCCGGUGACGGCAAGCUAAUCUCUGAAAGCCAAUCUCAGUUCGGAUUGUAGGCUGCAACUCGCCUACAUGAAGUCGGAAUCGCUAGUAAUCGCGGAUCAGCACGCCGCGGUGAGUACGUUCCCGGGCCUUGUACACACCGCCCGUCACACCACGAGAGUUUGUAACACCCAAAGUCGGUGAGGUAACCAUUUAUGGGGCCAGCCGCCUAAGGUGGGANGGA